Molecule: long non-coding RNA, 1070 nt
Filed under: Strigops habroptila (Kakapo)
Lineage: Eukaryota; Metazoa; Chordata; Aves; Psittaciformes; Psittacidae
Description: lncRNA (ENSSHBG00005017748.1)
Source: RNAcentral
UGCCACAUGGAAUGAUUUUUUUUUUAAAAGUUUUUCAACUACUUUUAGGACAAAAAAAUGUUACAAUGCUUGACUUUUCAUUUAGUUACAUAAAUAAUUUCUUAUAAAUAUCUCUUUAUAAACAAUAUAUAAAUAGCUUUACAACAUAAAUACAUUUAUGCAUGACAUGAAUUUACAAACAGCAACGUUAUACAGCUGGUUUCAUCAGUCUCUUGGAAAAGCGCUGUCCCUUGUCUUGGUGAGUGUUUGUGUAUAUAAUAUAUAUAAGAUAGAGAGCACUUUUUUAAAAAAUAACAAAACCAAAACAGCUGGUGCCAUGACUCCUCGUACCAAAAAGAAAAACACAGCCGCAUCUUUUGUCUGUUCCAGGGGGUCUCUGCUUUUCUAGGUGUUGCCUGGGGGAUGGUUGUGCCUGGCCACGGUAGGAGAAAAUGGACUACGGAUUCAAAGCCCUGGGUCCCUCAGCAGCCGAGGCCGCUCAUGGCGCCGAUGCGGUCCAGCUUGAGGCCGAAGCAGCCCUUGCCCAGGCCCUUCUUGUGCAGGCCCUUGUGCCGGCGGCCCGGCGGGUCCUGCAGCAGCCGCGCCCAGCCCGCCCGCGGCCGAGCCUCGCCCCGCGCCUCCCGCGCCUCCCGCGGGCCCGAGCCGCCGCCGCCGCCGCUGCGCUCCUUCUCCCGCUCCUUCUCCCGCUCCGCCGCCGCCGCCGCCUCGGGCGGACCCGCUGCCGCCGCCGCCGAGCCGCGGGAGGCCUGAGGCGGGGGGGAGAAGGUCAGUUCGCCGCCGCCUCCCAGUGCGCCCCGCCGCCCCGCUCAGGGCAGCGCCCCCCGCGUCAGAGUUGGGGACCCCCGGUUGGGGUCACCCCGCUACCGUGCCCAGGGCAUUCUGCUCCCUCCCGAAAUCCAUGCUCCCUGCCCUGGGGUCAGAGCAUCCGCACGCCCCACACAUAGCGGUGCCUUCCCGAACCCCCGGCACUGCCCUGAUCACUGCAUGGCUGGGGUCACCAUAUCACCCCAAAAGGGCUGGUGGUGCUGCACCCCGCAGCUGUGCUGCUGUCACUGCAUCAUCCCCAGCCC